Esox lucius (northern pike) is the source of this 1458-nucleotide long non-coding RNA. The record is from Ensembl. Lineage: Eukaryota; Metazoa; Chordata; Actinopteri; Esociformes; Esocidae.
GCACCAUCACCUAUAGAUUGUAAAUACAAUAUAAAGAUGUUAUUAAUACCUAAUGCUUUGAAUUGGAGACACACGUUUGGACUCAAAUUCAUUAUUUUUAAUGAGCAAAAAUUUGUUGUCAGUUACAAAAUAAGUUCAUGUUAGACUGCCUGUCCACUGGGAAGGGAAUGACCUCUGUGAAUUCUGAGGCACAUUAACUCUAGUUGUAUACGCAGCAGGCGCCAAGUAUCGGAUAAUGUUGUGGUCAAAGAAAGGACUCGCUCACAAAGCUCUCCUGUACACAGUUAACCAAUUCCUGGAGCUUUAAAUAUAUUCCCUGUUUUUUCUAAAAAUGCAUUUUUGAGGAUUGUCUGAAUAAAAAAAGAAUAAAGAGGGAACCCAGUAGCAUUUCUGGAAAACAAGGGAAUUUAUUGAAAGUUCCUGAAAUGUUGCAAUCCUACACCUGCAUAUACCUCCAAAGUUUGAUCUGAACCUUUUCGUAGCAGUGCAGUAUUUUAUAACCAGAACAUUGUAUUUUUCUACAGUGUGUAGUGAACAAACGUCUCUGUUGCUUUAAAGUCGACCAUCAUUUAGACAGCAUUCUGUCUCCCGUGUGUGGUUGUGUUUCUCCCUUCACUUACGCCUGUAUAUUUUGAAGUCAUAGUGUCUGCCCGCACUGUAAACUAUAAUGUUAUACUUGAUUCUCUAUUACUCUUUAAGUGUUACUUUUCAGGACUGGAGUCUUGUGAUGUUAGGGUGAGUGGGUAUGUGGGUGGGUGUAGUUUGGAGGCGGUGUUCUAAACUGUACAUCAAGUUGUUUGCAGAUAUGUUUUGUCUGUGUUUUUCUCUUCACCAUUGGAAACACAGCACUUUUGAAGACCCUGCUUGGACUUUGGAGAAGAUCUCACAAAGUGGAUUUUACAGAAGCCAGGUGGAGAAUAGGUUGUUACUGAUGAAUUGAAAAUGUCUAUUAUUUUUUAUUGUUUUUUGUUUUUUUUUAGCCACCAAAGAUAAAAUCUUUGAUUCUCUGAUAUAAAACAUCAAGUUGUUAUUAGUGUAAAAACAUGAAAUAAAAUUUUAAUAAAUACAGCACAGCUUGCUUAUUUGAGCAGAAAAGCAGAACAGAUGAUUUCAAACCUUUUUAGGGGACACAAAGUGAAGUAUUUAGGAGUAUUACAUAUCUCACACCACUCUGAACAAGAGAAUGUUAACCACCUCAAUGUGGUUAUUAUUGUGAAUGCUUUGUUGAAUGUGAUGUUACCUGUUGAAUCACUGUCUUUUCUCUAUACAUAGUAACAAUAUUUUAUAUAAACUGUUAAGUGGACACCUCAGACUCUAGUAGGGAGUUCAUUUUGUGCACCCUUUUAAUUAUAUGCGCAUCCCCGUGUAAAUAUAUAAAAUAUGCUAUAGUUAUAUCAGAACUGUAUAGUUUUCUGUCAUCUGUUAUAUUUUACUUGUAUUAAACUGUUUCAAUAGCUG